GGCGCACGGGUGCGUAACACGUAUACAACCUACCUUCAAUUGGGGGAUAACCUGGAGAAAUUCGGACUAAUAUCCCAUAGCAAACAGAAGAGGCAUCUUUUUUGUUUUAAAGAUUUAUUGAUUGGAGAUGGGUAUGCGUAGGAUUAGCUAGUUGGUAAGGUAACGGCUUACCAAGGCGACGAUCCUUAGGGGUUCUGAGAGGAAGGUCCCCCACACUGGUACUGAGACACGGACCAGACUCC
RNAcentral lists this ribosomal RNA (242 nucleotides) under uncultured Paludibacter sp. RNAcentral describes it as "partial 16S ribosomal RNA". It matches the Rfam family "Bacterial small subunit ribosomal RNA", at positions 97 to 339 of the family's 1533-position model. Lineage: Bacteria; Pseudomonadati; Bacteroidota; Bacteroidia; Bacteroidales; Paludibacteraceae. The record is from RNAcentral.